Molecule: long non-coding RNA, 843 nt
Organism: Quercus robur (English oak)
Lineage: Eukaryota; Viridiplantae; Streptophyta; Magnoliopsida; Fagales; Fagaceae
Exons: 3
Source: RefSeq, a predicted model, not a curated record
UAUAUAUAUAUAUAUAUAUAUAUCUUAGAUGAAAGAUUGAGAAUGUGAUCAUGCAUAGGCGUUUGAUAACACGUUGUAAGGUCCAAGUGAAGUAGGCAGGCUCUCUAUAUUAUGUGGUUUGGUUUACCAAAAAAAAAAAAAAAAGUAGCUGACAAACAAGUAGUUGCCAAAAGUGGGUGUCAAAUUACCCCCAUAAACAAGUAGGUUUCUCUUAUUUCUCCUUCGUCCCACUCUCAAGCCAUCUAUUAUUAUCAAUCCACCAAAAUAAUAGUGAAGAUUAUUUUUGAGUAUUUAUAUUGUUAGUAAGGAUGGGAAUGAUUAUGAUUAAAGAUUUGGGUUUUUUCUUUUUUCACAAUCUCUUAUGGGUCUUGCCCCUCUCCUCCAAACAGCAUUUUGACCAAGUGGGUUUUGAUUUGUGCAGGUCUGGAGUUGUCUCCACGUGAAGGCCAACUGAAAGUUGGUCUUUCCACUUUUAUUUCCAUGUUUGAUAUUCUCUCAACUUGGUCAAGCUAUCACCAUUGAGAAAAUGCUUGAAUGGUGGUUUAUUUGGACUAUGUGGUUUUGCCAAAGGGUACAAUUUUGAUUUGCUUUUUGGUUGAUGGUUUUAGAUGCUCGUUGAUGAUAUUGGAGACGUGACAAUUACUAAUGAUGGUGCUACAAUAUUGAAGAUGCUAUAAUUUUUUGGUGGCUUUUUGUGUACAAAGCACCACAUUUAAACAAUUGCAUUUUUUUGGAAGUGUUGAAGGAUUUGUUUAAAUACUUUGGAAUUUUGAUAAUGGUUAUAGAAAAUGUUAUGUAUUUGAUAAUAUAUUUCUAUGUUAAUAUAAUGUUAGUUUGGAGACA